CCCCAGACUCCUACGGGAGGCAGCAGUGGGGGAUAUUGCACAAUGGGGGAAACCCUGAUGCAGCGACGCCGCGUGGGCGAAGAAGUAUUUCGGUAUGUAAAGCCCUAUCAGCAGGGAAGAAGAAAUGACGGUACCUGAGUAAGAAGCACCGGCUAAAUACGUGCCAGCAGCCGCGGUAAUACGUAUGGUGCAAGCGUUAUCCGGAUUUACUGGGUGUAAAGGGAGCGCAGGCGGCACGGCAAGCCUGAUGUGAAAGCCCGCGGCCCAACCGCGGGACUGCAUUGGGAACUACCGGGCUGGAGUGCCGGAGAGGUAGGCGGAAUUCCUAGUGUAGCGGUGAAAUGCGUAGAUAUUAGGAGGAACACCGGUGGCGAAGGCGGCCUGCUGGACUGCGACUGACGUUGAGGCCCGAAAGCGUGGGGAGCAAACAGGAUUAGAUACCCCCGUAAAC
Molecule: ribosomal RNA, 451 nt
Filed under: uncultured bacterium
Lineage: Bacteria
Description: partial 16S ribosomal RNA
Rfam family: Bacterial small subunit ribosomal RNA
Source: RNAcentral